Molecule: transfer RNA, 88 nt
Filed under: Actinoallomurus spadix
Lineage: Bacteria; Bacillati; Actinomycetota; Actinomycetes; Streptosporangiales; Thermomonosporaceae
Also listed under: 28 other names
Description: tRNA-Ser
Rfam family: tRNA
About the family: Transfer RNA (tRNA) molecules are approximately 80 nucleotides in length. Their secondary structure includes four short double-helical elements and three loops (D, anti-codon, and T loops).
Source: RNAcentral
GGAGGAUUCGCCUAGUGGCCUAGGGCGCACGCUUGGAAAGCGUGUUGGGGGCAACCCCUCGCGAGUUCGAAUCUCGCAUCCUCCGCCA